Nerophis lumbriciformis (worm pipefish) is the source of this 73-nucleotide non-coding RNA. NCBI's taxonomy places the organism in Eukaryota, Metazoa, Chordata, Actinopteri, Syngnathiformes, Syngnathidae. The record is from the annotation of a RefSeq genome assembly.
GGCCUCAUAGCCCAGUGGUUAGAGCACUGGUCUUGCAAGCCAGGGGUCGUAAAUUCAAUUCUUGCUGGGGCCU